Molecule: ribosomal RNA, 303 nt
Filed under: Triticum aestivum (bread wheat)
Lineage: Eukaryota; Viridiplantae; Streptophyta; Magnoliopsida; Poales; Poaceae
Description: partial small subunit ribosomal RNA
Source: RNAcentral
AAUCAGAUUUUCGAGGGCAAAGAAGUAGAUGUCUCAAGCAAGAAGCCAGGAAGAGUUGGCCGAAAGAGAAAGGAGUUGGAUCUAGCGAGGGCCUCAACAAUCCCACUGAAUAAAAGAAGGACAAUUCGAUCUCUGGCACGGUCUCUAGGUGUGGCCCGAUCGACCCUACAUAAGAGGUUCCAGUUGAAUGAGCUCAACCGCAUCACAAGCACUGUGAAGCCUCACCUCAAGCCAGAGAACAAGCUUGCGAGAUUGAAAAUUUUCAUGUCCAUGCUCGAUGACAAAUCGAUAUCAACUUCUUGA